GCGGCUUGUCUGCAGUGUGGCACGCCGUCCUGCCACCGUGGUGAUCACGAAAACGUUUGGAAAUAUCGUGGUGAAAAUGUUUGCUUUGGUGUUUUAGAAGAAACCAGCUUAGGCCGCAUGGUGCUGCCCAUAUGCAGAUGCGCGACUUCUGUUACCCGCAAGGGUUUCAAUCAUUGGGAUUGGCAUUUACUGUUUCAGUGGAGAAAGAGGUCUAACUAUGAUACAAAGAAACUGAUUCAGCAGAACGGUCCACAAGACAGAGGCUGUCAAAGUAAUUAAAACAUAAUCACUCUUCCAUUCCAUUCUUCUCUGUACCACAUGUCCUAAGAACAUAUAAAAUGUCCUACUGGCCUGGAGCUAUCGUCAUAAGUCUGCACCACUGUUGGGUCCCGAACAGUGGCAACGGGAGAUGCUAUUUCGGAGGAGCACAUGCAGAGAAUGUGACAUCAUACAGUACUGAGGAUGUGGAUUCACCGAGGUUUUCUGGAGAUGUGAAACAGUAGCUGCUUGUCCUGUCAUCGUCCAUAUCCCUCCUGGUAGCGCCCAGGACUUUUUCAGACUGGUUUUUUUUCCCCCAGCAGCCACUGCACAUCUGGCAAGGCAAGUAAAUUAA
Long non-coding RNA from Gymnogyps californianus (California condor), 613 nucleotides. RefSeq lists it as uncharacterized. NCBI's taxonomy places the organism in Eukaryota, Metazoa, Chordata, Aves, Accipitriformes, Cathartidae. The record is from RefSeq and is a predicted model, not a curated record. The transcript is spliced from 3 exons.